UUUUAUGGAGAGUUUGAUCCUGGCUCAGGACGAACGCUGGCGGCGUGCUUAACACAUGCAAGUCGAACGCUGAAGCGCCCAGCUUGCUGGGUGUGGAUGAGUGGCGAACGGGUGAGUAACACGUGAGUAACCUGCCCCUGACUUCGGGAUAAGCCUGGGAAACUGGGUCUAAUACCGGAUAUGACUACUGGCCGCAUGGUCUGGU
This 205-nucleotide ribosomal RNA is filed under the name Brevibacterium luteolum. Its description in RNAcentral is "partial 16S ribosomal RNA". It matches the Rfam family "Bacterial small subunit ribosomal RNA", at positions 1 to 199 of the family's 1533-position model. The record is from RNAcentral. Lineage: Bacteria; Bacillati; Actinomycetota; Actinomycetes; Micrococcales; Brevibacteriaceae.